GUUUGUUGCUGUCUCAAUAAAAAUUUCUAUCUUGUGGUAUUCAUUAGCAACGGCCAUUAUACGACGUAAGAUUUCUAUUUCCCCAGGGUGGAAGAAUUCUUUUAGGUCUGGAUUUGUUGUUAACUAAAUUUUUGAUAUUGUUAUGUUUCCAAACUACACGCAAACUACAAAGCUACCGGUGAAAACUACAGAGGCUUGUAGUAGGUACACCACUGAUUCAUAGCACAUAGGUGUCUAGCGGGCGAAUGAAAUGUCCUAGGACAACAAUACUUUCAUCAGAUUAUGUCUAGCGGGCGCACGAAAUACCCUAGGACAGCAAUUCUUCCAUCAGAUUGUGUCUAGCGGGCGAACAAAAUAUUGUAACACAACCAUUCUUGCAUCUAAUUCGGGCGAACGAAAUAUCCUAGGGCAGCGAUUCUUUCAUCAGAUUGUGUCUAGCGGGCGAAUGAAAUGUCCUAGGACAACGAUUCUUGCAUCAGAUUGUGUCUAGCGGGCGAACGAAAUAUCCUAGGACAGCGAUUCUUUCGCCAAAUUUAGGUACCAUGGAUGAUGGUGCGAGUACAGUUCUAUUCAUGUUCUGCACUACCACAUUGAAAGUGUACAAAUAAACAUGUUUUCUUAUGUCGUACAAUUUUUGUGCGAUCGCCACGCGAUUGGCUUGUGUACCAUGUUAGUCUCAUUUUUAUCGUCAGGUGAUCAGCACGCACAUUUUCUUCAUUAUUCAUUAUUCUUGAGUUGCUAAAUGUUUCUUCAAUUGUGCGCAAUUGAUGUGCGGGGUUCGUACCACGCGGAUUGUACAUACUCAGAGGUAAAACGUGAGUGAUGUUCCGUCGGCCGUCUUAUUUUUUUUGUAUUAUACGCGUAUUUCAUCGGUUCUACAAUGUGCAUAAUUAUGGUCCAUACAACUUAUUGGAUAUACCAAAACAAAAAUUUAUUUUGCAUCAAGGUAUGUUCUCGCAUUUUUUCAGCCAUUUGAAAAUCAAAUCCAUUAUUGACUUUACUUGUUUGCGCUUUUCCAAUUGUUUUACAUGAUUCGAAAUAAAAUUCUGAUUUGUGCUUUAAUUUUUAAAUUUUAUUUUUGGAUUCCGACAGUAAAUAAAAUUCUGAAUGCAGUAACACAAUUAUAGAUUAAGGCCCUAUUGACAUGUAAAAACCAAUUUUUGUAUUAAAAAUGUAAAAUACACCAAUACAUAAAUAAUAAAAGUAUACAAUACUACAA
Molecule: long non-coding RNA, 1219 nt
Organism: Dalotia coriaria
Lineage: Eukaryota; Metazoa; Arthropoda; Insecta; Coleoptera; Staphylinidae
Exons: 9
Source: RefSeq, a predicted model, not a curated record